Molecule: ribosomal RNA, 340 nt
Filed under: Salmonella enterica subsp. enterica serovar Infantis
Lineage: Bacteria; Pseudomonadati; Pseudomonadota; Gammaproteobacteria; Enterobacterales; Enterobacteriaceae
Also listed under: 2 other names
Description: partial 23S ribosomal RNA
Source: RNAcentral
AAGUGGUACGCGAGCUGGGUUUAGAACGUCGUGAGACAGUUCGGUCCCUAUCUGCCGUGGGCGCUGGAGAACUGAGGGGGGCUGCUCCUAGUACGAGAGGACCGGAGUGGACGCAUCACUGGUGUUCGGGUUGUCAUGCCAAUGGCACUGCCCGGUAGCUAAAUGCGGAAGAGAUAAGUGCUGAAAGCAUCUAAGCACGAAACUUGCCCCGAGAUGAGUUCUCCCUGAGACUUARAGUCUCCUGAAGGAACGUUGAAGACGACGACGUUGAUAGGCCGGGUGUGUAAGCGCAGCGAUGCGUUGAGCUAACCGGUACUAAUGAACCGUGAGGCUUAACCUU